This 212-nucleotide ribosomal RNA is filed under the name uncultured bacterium. Its description in RNAcentral is "partial 16S ribosomal RNA". It matches the Rfam family "Bacterial small subunit ribosomal RNA", at positions 524 to 732 of the family's 1533-position model. The record is from RNAcentral.
UACGUAGGGUGCAAGCGUUAUCCGGAAUUAUUGGGCGUAAAGAGCUCGUAGGCGGUUUGUCGCGUCUGCUGUGAAAACUGGGGGCUCAACCCCCCAGCCUGCAGUGGGUACGGGGCAGACUAGAGUGCGGUAGGGGGAGAUUGGAAUUCCUGGUGUAGCGGUGGAAUGCGCAGAUAUCAGGAGGAACACCGAUGGCGAAGGCAGAUCUCUGG